GAAAUGCCCUAAAGAGCCCUGGAAAACUAAAAUGGAGCCCCUGAAAUUCAUAUAGGGUCCAAUGUAAACUUUAACACAAAUUAGGAUAUUUGGGCUAGUGAGCUCAAAAAAAGCCCAGGAAAAUAAAUUAUUAUCUUUUUUCCCUGAUAUUAAUUUGAAAUUCUUAAGGCAUACAUGUAUUGGAUGCACUCAAUUAAUCAUAAUAAUUUUUAUCCCUAGUACCUGCAGUCAGUUCUGGAAGAACCUGUAUUGGAGGAAUCAGUUCCAAGCAGCAGUUCAACUUCAUCAAGUUUCAAGGCAUCUUCUUCAGUGUCCAAAUAUCCCGAGGUGCUUGACACCAAUCUUGCCUUUUAUGAGGAACCUGAUUCCAUCUCAGAUGUACAUGAUCCCACUGCUUCAGAUGUACAUCUACAAGCAAGAAGCCAUGAAAAACGUUCCAAGUCAAGGCGGCGGCGGAAACGAAAGAAGAUUUCUUCAGAUGAUGAUAAAGGAGAUCUGGUUAAAGUUCAUGUAAAUGUAAGCUGCCAAACAUUCCACUCAGGUGUAAAGAUGACACAAGACAACUUUACACAAUGUCCAGAAGACUUCUCAUAUGUCACUGAUGAGCACAAGUACUCGUGUGGAAACACCCAAC
Molecule: long non-coding RNA, 634 nt
Organism: Lytechinus variegatus (green sea urchin)
Lineage: Eukaryota; Metazoa; Echinodermata; Echinoidea; Temnopleuroida; Toxopneustidae
Exons: 4
Source: RefSeq, a predicted model, not a curated record